This 497-nucleotide ribosomal RNA is filed under the name uncultured bacterium. RNAcentral describes it as "partial 16S ribosomal RNA". It matches the Rfam family "Bacterial small subunit ribosomal RNA", at positions 28 to 507 of the family's 1533-position model. The record is from RNAcentral.
GAUGAACGCUGGCGGCGUGCCUAAUACAUGCAAGUCGAGCGAACGGACGAGAAGCUUGCUUUUCUGAUGUUAGCGGCGGACGGGUGAGUAACACGUGGAUAACCUACCUAUAAGACUGGGAUAACUUCGGGAAACCGGAGCUAAUACCGGAUAAUAUUUUGAACCGCAUGGUUCAAAAGUGAAAGACGGUCUUGCUGUCACUUAUAGAUGGAUCCGCGCUCCAUUAGCUAGUUGGUAAGGUAACGGCUUACCAAGGCAACGAUGCAUAGCCGACCUGAGAGGGUGAUCGGCCACACUGGAACUGAGACACGGUCCAGACUCCUACGGGAGGCAGCAGUAGGGAAUCUUCCGCAAUGGGCGAAAGCCUGACGGAGCAACGCCGCGUGAGUGAUGAAGGUCUUCGGAUCGUAAAACUCUGUUAUUAGGGAAGAACAUAUGUGUAAGUAACUGUGCACAUCUUGACGGUACCUAAUCAGAAAGCCACGGCUAACUACGUG